UCACUCCUGCCUCAGGCCUCAGCCACCACAGUAAGUGGAACUCUAUACCUCCACCUCGCCUGGCUGGGUGGAGCCUCUAAACUCAGGAUUCUGCCUUGAGCUGUGGCUCUCCCCUCAGGUUGACAGGGUCCAGAGCAAAACCUACGGAAGAAGCUGCAGAGGCCAGGUGGAGGGAAGGAUGCUGAACUGGAGGAGGCCAGGAAAUUAUGAGGUACACCAAUCAAACAUAGUGUGUCCAGAAUUUGUGGGUUCUUGGUCUCACUGACUUCAAGAACGAAGCUGCGGACCCUCACGAAUGUGCACUGCCAUCUGUGGCUGUCUUCCUGCUGGCAAAUCCUUUUCAUUCCAAGCAAAUAAGAUUCCCUAAAUUAGACAAAAA
Homo sapiens (human) is the source of this 379-nucleotide long non-coding RNA. Lineage: Eukaryota; Metazoa; Chordata; Mammalia; Primates; Hominidae. The record is from Ensembl.